CACAAGCAGGGAUAGAAGCCCCACCACUUAUGCUACAUAAUGACAUCUCCGCCUUGGACUUGUGCACAAGUUUGUGCUCCUUGGGUGGCUAGCAGUUCAUUGGAAAUAGAGGAGAUAAGCCUGAAGGUGAGAUCUUAGAAGAAGGCAGUUCCUCAUGCACAGCUCGUCAAUCCUGACUUGGUUGGAAAAUGAAAUCAUAGAAUGCCCAAAUCAAAGGAGAGUUGAUUCCGGGAAGGGUAAAGGGUGAUGUCAAGGGCCAGGAAAAUGGCAGCCUGUGUCUGUGACGGUGGACCCGUCACCAGCCCUGCUCGCUCACCUCCCCGGUACUCCGAGUUGUUCCGCCAGUCCGUCAGGUCGAUCUCGGCCGUGCCAGCGAUCACCAGCUCCAGCUCCCUGGCGUCAAACACGGAGACCAGCCUCGAGUCCACCACCUGAAACCCAGGUUAGGCUUCAGCACACAGGCCCGAUCAAUCAAGAGGUGAUACUCCUUGUUAUUAUUUCUGUGGGUUAAGCUGGGCAGCAGACCACUGUCGACUUUUUUUCCCCCAACAUGCUAUCGUCUUUAAGUUCAAAAUCACGACUUGAACAUUUUGAAACACAACCCGUUCAUGACCUGGGAACUCAAAAAAGGCCCCCGGCUUUUCAUCUCCCUCUGAGACUCCCUCUCAGAAUGGUAUUAUGAACAAGCCUGACUCGACUUUUUCGCGCCCCACUUAGGUUUCCAAGUCACAUUGCGUUUUAAAUGCAAAAGGUCCAAGUUGCCUUGAAAUGAUUCAUUAGCUGUGAGUGUUACCACUUUACCUAAAAGAGAUCCUCUCUUUUAUGUAAAACUAGGGCCUACUUCCUAGGAAUGGCUAUUAUACAUUACAAAGACCAUCUUUUCCUUCCCUUCUCCCCUCACUUCCUCCCCUCACGUCCUCCCCUCCCUCCUCCAAAGAUCUGGGAGGGUUCUGAGCUCCAGCUUUACAUCUUGUUGCCAAAUGUGUCAGGUACAACUGCACACCUGCCGUGGGUCCCUCCUUCAGUCAGACCAGUGACCCAUCCUGUUCUCCAUCACGGCAGCAAAGAAAACCUCUGACACCCAGGCCCUGAGGAACCACGGACAGCCUCUUGUUUCUAAACUGGAAAAGUUUAAGGAUGUCAAUUUUUGGUGCACAGGAGUGAGACAGGAGGGAAGCAGGCAGUAAUCAACACCAAGAUGGCAGAAGACUCAACUCCAGGAGGCUCAGCCUGCCCACGUCUGGACAGGAGGUGCCAUGUGCUUUCCCAUCUGGCACAGCGGGGCCACAUGGAUGCUGCUUCUGGGAGAGUGUCUGUCACCGCCCACUAGAGCUGGCUUAAUCAGAGACCCCUGCCCCCUGCCCACCGACCCCCAGGAGGUCCGCUCUGCACGCUGGUCAGUAGAGCUGAGCCCCGUUCCCGCCUCGCCUCGCCUCCCUCCUCCUCCCGCUCCUCCUCCCGAGCUGUCCGGGCGGCGCCUCACCUCGUAG
Long non-coding RNA from Camelus dromedarius (Arabian camel), 1490 nucleotides. RefSeq lists it as uncharacterized. The record is from RefSeq and is a predicted model, not a curated record. The transcript is spliced from 4 exons. Lineage: Eukaryota; Metazoa; Chordata; Mammalia; Artiodactyla; Camelidae.